UAGCCUUGAUUUCUUUUCAUUUCCAGGUGUGACAAAUGAUUAAGAAUGGAACCCCAGGAUUCAGAACUUCUGGUGAAAAUCAGCAAGAGGAAAAUAACAAUCUGGUUUUAAACUGUGUCCAGUCUUGAGCAGGAGCUUCACAAUGGGACACAGAUGAGGUAAGGUCCUGUGGCCCCCCACAGCCCGACAGUAGAGGUGAGCUUUGCAGGAGCACAGCCAGGCCCAUUCAGCCACAUGUGACGGUGACUGCGACUGCUCUACAUCACCUGUGGAUCUGAGAGUAGGGACAAGACCACAUGGCCCACAGAGCCAAGGAUAUUUACUCUCAAAUCCUUUACAGAGGAAUUUGCUAGUCCCUGCAACAGAAGAUAUCCAGGUGACUGACCCUCACAUGAAAAAGUGCUCCAAUGUGAUGAGCCACCGUAAAAAGAAAGGCUGGACCCUAGAAGGACCCAUUCACCCUCCUUGGCCCGACAGCAGGCCUGGAGCACUAGUGGCUCCAGUGUAAACUGACCGUUUACAAACAGCUCGGAGUGUGCCGUGCUCACCACACCUGUCUCUGUGGCUCAGCAGUUCCUGGGUAGAUGGACAUUCAAGGAGGGUGAGGGUCUCGGGCAGCAGGAGACAUGGGGGGAAUGACCUUAGCACCUGGGCUUGUAACAGCCCCACACCUGACAUCACCCAGAUGUCCACCAUCAGGGGAACGGAUUAAAUAAAGUGUGAUAUGUGUACACGAGCGAACGGCAGAUAGCAACGAGAAAAUAAAUCUUUGUUUCUUGCAAGAACAUCUCACAGAAUUAAUGUGGACAAAAGAAAGCAGGCCCUGGAGAGAGCGUAGUGUGCUACAGCUUCCACAUGAAGUUCAGUAACAUGUAGGAGUUAGCAUGGCAGCUAGCUGCAGGACGGCAGGAUUAAG
This 916-nucleotide long non-coding RNA is filed under the name Marmota monax (woodchuck). Lineage: Eukaryota; Metazoa; Chordata; Mammalia; Rodentia; Sciuridae. The record is from RNAcentral.